Molecule: long non-coding RNA, 1452 nt
Organism: Microtus oregoni (creeping vole)
Lineage: Eukaryota; Metazoa; Chordata; Mammalia; Rodentia; Cricetidae
Exons: 8
Source: RefSeq, a predicted model, not a curated record
AAGGCGGCUGGGACCCUGGACAGCUGGCCUCCUCCGCCCCCAGCCCUCCUCUGCAGCUGAGGGCUGCAGCCCAGCAGGCGUGCGCUGGCAUGCAUCCUCCCGGCUCUAUCUAGUCUGCCCUAGCCUGGAAGCUGAAUCCCGGGAGACAGCAAAAGGCACCGGGAGAGAGACUGGAGAAGGCCAAAAUAAGAGUGCAGGAUCACAGUCAAGGCUGCUGCGGAGCCAGGAAAGACAGCGUUGCCGACUCCGGACUAGUACCUGCUGCACUGAGAAGCCUGUGAAUGGCAGGAGGCCAGGAAAGUAUACAAGCAGGUCCGGGAGGGAGGGCGGCUGAGCUCCAGAAAUGAGGAGAGGGAACUUGGGACAGCAACUGGUCCCCACACGGUGAACUUGACCAUUCCAAGGGGCUCCCAAGGACGGUGAAGGUAGGGGGUGUGGCCGAAAGGACACAAAGGCUAAACACAGCUACAGGGGUGGGGGGUAAGGGUGGUGGUGACGAGGACCGAAGGACACCUUUCUGAGAACCAAUUAGGGACUGUAAAGACAAUUGAACUGGGGGCGAUUUUGUAUGAGAAAGCUGGAGCAGCAAAGAAAGGAAAAUCAGGAUUGAAGAGCUAAGAGAGAGAAGAGUUAGAAGCCAAAGAAAGCAAACUGCACCCGGAACUAAAAGAAAAGAGAAAUCAAUAAAGGAAAUUUUCAAAACACAUGGCAGAGCGAACUUGUUCCUGAAACUACCAACAGAGGGAGGAAAAAAGGGGUGGGGGCGCCGAGCAUACUGGAGGAACCAAAAGAGAAGGAAUGAAAGGAGAGAAGACUGGAUACAAAUUAAACCAGACACGGCAUAGACACAGAUAAAUCUGGCAUCACAACAGCUGCCCAUUCUUCUCGUUAUGCAAAGUACUGGAUAUCUGUUCCAAAGCAAUCUCUUUAUCAUGGAUGCAUCAGAAUUGCUAACAGGUGUCUGAGCUCUGUGCUUCCUCAUCCAUGACAUGAGCUUUGAGCAAGACGAACCACAGCAGCUACUCUCAGCACUCAGGAGAUGAAGGUAGGAAGAUACCAAGUUGGAAACCAACCCAGACUCUAAAGCAAGAGUCUCAGGCCACCUGGAGCUAUAUAGCAAGACCUUUCCGGAAGACCAUAUCAGUUUGAAUCAUUUCUGGAAGUCAGCAGGGGUCUCCAAUGUGAAGAGCACUCUCUUUUUGUUAUUGGCCUCCUCUAUCUCAAAGGGCAAUCAGAACCUUCCUCUCGGGCAAGGAAUGCAUCUAUGUGUCUGUGACGUAUUGGAUGCUAAGACUCAGAGAUCAAUAAUAUCUCAAUUUGGCAUGUAUUUUAGUGAUGCGAAUGUCAUCCAUUUCCAGCUAAACUCACAGAUUCAUCUUCAUCUCACUAGAAGAGAGACAUCCAGCGCUUGGUUUGUGACAGUGAAAGACCUUGACCUCCAGGAACUUACAG